RNAcentral lists this ribosomal RNA (426 nucleotides) under uncultured bacterium. RNAcentral describes it as "partial 16S ribosomal RNA". It matches the Rfam family "Bacterial small subunit ribosomal RNA", at positions 354 to 796 of the family's 1533-position model. The record is from RNAcentral.
GUGAGGAAUAUUGCGCAAUAGGCGAAAGCCUGACGCAGCAACGCCGCGUGGAUGAUGAAGGCCUUCGGGUUGUAAAAUCCUUUUCUGGGGGAAGAACAGGACGGUACCCCAGGAAUAAGUGUCGGCUAACUACGUGCCAGCAGCCGCGGUAAAACGUAGGACGCAAGCGUUAUCCGGAUUUACUGGGCGUAAAGCGCGUGCAGGCGGUUGGUUAAGUCGUGCGUGAAAGCUCCCUGGCUCAACCGGGAGAGGUCGUACGAAACUGACUGACUUGAGGGCAGCAGAGGAGCGUGGAAUUCCGGGUGUAGUGGUGAAAUGCGUAGAUAUCCGGAGGAACACCAGUGGCGAAGGCGGCGCUCUGGGCUGUACCUGACGCUAAGACGCGAAAGCAUGGGUAGCGAACGGGAUUAGAAACCCUAGUAGUCC